This 465-nucleotide ribosomal RNA is filed under the name uncultured Klebsiella sp. RNAcentral's name for it is "bacterial SSU rRNA". It matches the Rfam family "Bacterial small subunit ribosomal RNA", at positions 338 to 795 of the family's 1533-position model. Lineage: Bacteria; Pseudomonadati; Pseudomonadota; Gammaproteobacteria; Enterobacterales; Enterobacteriaceae. The record is from RNAcentral.
CCUACGGGCGGCUGCAGUGGGGAAUAUUGCACAAUGGGCGCAAGCCUGAUGCAGCCAUGCCGCGUGUGUGAAGAAGGCCUUCGGGUUGUAAAGCACUUUCAGCGGGGAGGAAGGCGUUAAGGUUAAUAACCUUGUCGAUUGACGUUACCCGCAGAAGAAGCACCGGCUAACUCCGUGCCAGCAGCCGCGGUAAUACGGAGGGUGCAAGCGUUAAUCGGAAUUACUGGGCGUAAAGCGCACGCAGGCGGUCUGUCAAGUCGGAUGUGAAAUCCCCGGGCUCAACCUGGGAACUGCAUUCGAAACUGGCAGGCUAGAGGCUUGUAGAGGGGGGUAGAAUUCCAGGUGUAGCGGUGAAAUGCGUAGAGAUCUGGAGGAAUACCGGUGGCGAAGGCGGCCCCCUGGACAAAGACUGACGCUCAGGUGCGAAAGCGUGGGGAGCAAACAGGAUUAGAUACCCCUGUAGUC